Molecule: ribosomal RNA, 253 nt
Filed under: uncultured bacterium
Lineage: Bacteria
Description: partial 16S ribosomal RNA
Rfam family: Bacterial small subunit ribosomal RNA
Source: RNAcentral
UACGAAGGGGGCUAGCGUUGCUCGGAAUGACUGGGCGUAAAGGGCGCGUAGGCGGUUUGUACAGUCAGAUGUGAAAUUCCUGGGCUUAACCUGGGGGCUGCAUUUGAUACGUGCAGACUUGAGUGAGGAAGAGGGUUGUGGAAUUCCCAGUGUAGAGGUGAAAUUCGUAGAUAUUGGGAAGAACACCGGUGGCGAAGGCGGCAACCUGGUCCUUGACUGACGCUGAGGCGCGAAAGCGUGGGGAGCGAACAGG